This 406-nucleotide ribosomal RNA is filed under the name uncultured bacterium. RNAcentral describes it as "partial 16S ribosomal RNA". It matches the Rfam family "Bacterial small subunit ribosomal RNA", at positions 30 to 526 of the family's 1533-position model. The record is from RNAcentral.
AUUGAACGCUGGCGGCAGGCUUAACACAUGCAAGUCGAACGAGUGGCGGACGGGUGAGUAAUGGCUGGGAAACUGCCUGAUGGAGGGGGAUAACUCCUGGAAACGGUAGCUAAUACCGCAUACCAUCAGAUGUGCCCAGAUGGGAUUAGCUUGUUGGGGGGGUAACGGCGCACCAAGGCGACGAUCCCUAGCUGGUCUGAGAGGAUGCCCAGCCACACUGGAACUGAGACACGGUCCAGACUCCUACGGGAGGCAGCGGCGGGGAAUAUUGCACAAUGGGCACAAGCCUAAUGCAGCCAUGCCGCGUGUAUGAAGAAGGCCUUCGGGUUGUAAAGUACUGUCAGCGGGGAGGCGUUACCCGCAGAAGAAGCACCGGCUAACUCCGUGCCAGCAGCCGCGGUAAUUC